UUACAGAGAUGGAAUAAUACUUAUUAUUAAUUUACUCGUUUUUCUUACCUUUUGUAUAAUGGUUGAAUUAAAAUUUAAUUAUAUAAUUAUUCCCGAAUUAAGAAGAGCUAAUUAAUAACAUUUUUUAGAAUAUAAAAAUUAUGUAGAAUUAUGGUUUUAAGAUUAUUAAUUAGGGGUGAAAGGCCUGUCAAUUCUUAGGAUAUCUGGAAGUCUUUUAAAAGCAUUUAGUGCUGUAAAGUUAGAUAUAAAGUGUUUAGAUUUUAUAUCUUUUAGUAUAAAUUUUAUUAUUUUGUUUUCUAGGGUUAAACCCCUUGAUUUAAAAAUAUAUACAAAUUAAUUUAUAUAAGAAUCUAAAAUACUAUAAGACUUUUUUCUUAAGUUAAUUAGAAAAAUUAUAAUGUUCAAAUUAGUAAUAAUUAAAAUAAUUUAAAAUAGUUGUUAUUUUUAUAUAAUAAAUUUUCUUUAAAAUAGAAAAAAGGAACUCGGCAAAUAUAGGCUUGGACUGUUUAACAAAAACAUAGCUAUAAGUUAACAUUUAUAGUUUAACCUGCCCAAUGUGAAAUAAUAUGAAUGGCCGCGGUACUGUGACCGUGCUAAGGUAGCGUAAUCAGUUGGCUUUUAAAUGGAGUCAGGAAUGAAUGGAAUAACCGGGCUUAGCUGUCUCUUUUUUAAUAAUUUGAAUUUACUUUGUAAGUGAGAAAGCUUACUGUUUGAAGAGGGAGGAGAAGACCCUUAGAAUUUUACUUAUAUUGUUUAAUCAUACUGGUUUUGUUGGGGUGACAAAGAAAUAUAUUAAAACUUUCUUUAAAAUACUUGCCGAUUAUAUUAAGUGAGAAUAAAUUACCUGAGGGAUAACAGCAUAAUUCUACAUUUGAGUUUGUGACCUCGAUGUUGGACUAGGAAACUAGCAAGCUAGCCGUUUGCUUUGUGGGUUCUGUUCGAACUGUAAUUCCUACAUGAUCUGAGUUCAGACCGGCGUAAGCCAGGUCAGAUUCUAUCUUCUUAUUUUAUGGCUUCAGUACGAAAGGACCGAGCUGUAUUAUUAUAUAUAAAUUUAUUGACUUGGCAGAA
Molecule: ribosomal RNA, 1071 nt
Filed under: Doto coronata
Lineage: Eukaryota; Metazoa; Mollusca; Gastropoda; Nudibranchia; Dotidae
Description: 16S ribosomal RNA
Rfam family: Bacterial large subunit ribosomal RNA
Source: RNAcentral